UCUGGGUAUAGUGAGAAUGUUGGUUUCUU
Molecule: non-coding RNA, 29 nt
Filed under: Rattus norvegicus (Norway rat)
Lineage: Eukaryota; Metazoa; Chordata; Mammalia; Rodentia; Muridae
Source: RNAcentral